UGGCUCAGAACGAACGCUGGCGGCAGGCUUAACACAUGCAAGUCGAACGGGUGUAGCAAUACAUCAGUGGCAGACGGGUGAGUAACACGUGGGAACCUUCCUCGUUGUACGGAACAACUCAGGGAAACUUGAGCUAAUACCGUAUACGUCCGAGAGGAGAAAGAUUUAUCGCAAUGAGACGGGCCCGCGUCGGAUUAGCUAGUUGGUGAGGUAAUGGCUCACCAAGGGAACGAUCAGUAGCUGGUCUGAGAGGAUGAUCAGCCACAUUUUUACUGAGACACGGGACAAACUCCUACGGGAUGCGCGCAGUGGG
RNAcentral lists this ribosomal RNA (313 nucleotides) under uncultured bacterium. RNAcentral's name for it is "bacterial SSU rRNA". It matches the Rfam family "Bacterial small subunit ribosomal RNA", at positions 20 to 358 of the family's 1533-position model. The record is from RNAcentral.